This 200-nucleotide ribosomal RNA is filed under the name uncultured bacterium. RNAcentral's name for it is "partial 16S ribosomal RNA". It matches the Rfam family "Bacterial small subunit ribosomal RNA", at positions 30 to 232 of the family's 1533-position model. The record is from RNAcentral.
AUUGAACGCUGGCGGCAUGCCUUACACAUGCAAGUCGAACGGUAACGCGGGGCAACCUGGCGACGAGUGGCGAACGGGUGAGUAAUACAUCGGAACGUGCCCAGUAGUGGGGGAUAGCCCGGCGAAAGCCGGAUUAAUACCGCAUACGACCUACGGGUGAAAGCGGGGGAUCGCAAGACCUCGCGCUAUUGGAGCGGCCG